UUAACACAUGGCAAGAGUAAAAUCUCUUUGUUCUUACUGUGCUAUAAUCUAGAUAAUGCACAGCAAAGGUGUGCAUUAACUACCUCAGAUAUACCGCACAGUUCAAAUCUAUUUUUACCUUUAGGGGCGGUUCCCGGAUUUUGAAAGGGGCGUUAUUCUAUCAAAUUAAAAAAAAAACAAGAAUGUGUCCAUAGUACACGAAUGCCCCACUCGCACUAUCAUUUUUUAUGUUCAGUGGACCAUGAAAUUGGGGUCAAAACUAUAAUUUGGCAGUACAAUUAGAAAGAUGAUAUCAUGGGGAACAUGUGUACUAAGUUUCAAGUUGAUUGGACUUCAACUUCUUCAAAAACUACCUUGACCAAAAACUUUAACCUGAAGCGGACGGACGAACGGACGCACAGACGGACGGACGAACGGACGGACGGAAGAACGGAGGCACAGACCAGAAAACAUAAUGCCCCUCUACUAUCGUAGAUGGGGCAUAAAUAUCACCGAGUGUAGCGAGACUAAAGACAAUAUUGACGAUUUUAAGCUAAAACACCCUAUUUUGUCCAAUCCAAGGGUAAACGAUCCGUUCGCCCCCACCCCCGAAUCCGCCAUCUGAACGAAUUUUGAAUAAUUAUUCCUAUAAAGAGACUAUAUUUGGAUCGGAUUUAAUGAGGACCAUAUUAAAGUUUGUUUUAAAACUGGGUGAUUAGCUGGAGAUCAA
This 709-nucleotide long non-coding RNA is filed under the name Mytilus galloprovincialis (Mediterranean mussel). Lineage: Eukaryota; Metazoa; Mollusca; Bivalvia; Mytilida; Mytilidae. The record is from RNAcentral.